Molecule: unclassified non-coding RNA, 1025 nt
Filed under: Hevea brasiliensis (rubber tree)
Lineage: Eukaryota; Viridiplantae; Streptophyta; Magnoliopsida; Malpighiales; Euphorbiaceae
Source: RNAcentral
GCAGCUUUGUUUAACUGGUUUUGGUUUACAUCUUAUAGAUAUUAGAAGCUUUGUAUGUAAACAUUGUUGAUUCCAGAACCUGCAUCCCCAAAUUUAUUAUUCAGGAGGUUCUAGUUGUGGGGUUUGCAGAGAACAUUUAGUGGCACAUUGGAAUCCCCCCUCAAUCAAAUUAUGCAUAUUGUAUAAUGCUGUGAUUUAGAAAUUUCCUGUCGAGCAUUGGAUUAGGAUAUAUGGAUGUAGUAUGGAAUUAGCAGGGAAUAUUUAAUCUCUAAUAUCCUAAUUAAGAGAGUCUCUAUUAUUUUUGGACAAACUUGUUCUGCUCAUAGCCUUUGAAUUUUAAUGAUGAAAUAUUUCAAGCAUACUACUCAACCCUUCAAUUGCUAUAUAGACUUGAUAAUUGCACUACAUGAGGGUAAUCUUUGAUGAUAGUGGCAGUCCAGUCAGAUCAUACAUGAAAUAUGCUAGUUAAGCCAAUAAUAGGAACAGGACUAGUUAACCAUACCCUUGCUGCUGUUUUAUCAUUUGGAUCGAGCUGUCAUUUCCAGUAUUAUUAUCUAAAGUGUUCAAGUUGUUGUUGGGUUUAGGAUUCUCUUAUGAGUUUACUCUCUGAAAAUGAGGCCAAUAUAGUCAGAUCCAACUCUUGAAAUGACCUUGUUAAGCCAAUCAGAGGAAAUUUACGAGUGCACUGUGUUUAUUGGAAUUACUUAUCAUGUAAUUUAAGGCACUAUUUCCUUAAGUUGCCAUCAUUAAAGCAAUAUAUGAUGUGGACAUCUUAAGCAUCACACAUAGAAAGGGAUCUAAAAUACUUGGGAGACACGAGAAGUCAUUUUUUAUUAUCAUGUAUUGAUUUUAAAAGUUUCUUUGUUUCAUUUUAUUCUUAAGAUGAAUACAAUUACACCUGAAAUCUUUUGUUGGAUUUCACCUUGGUCUCUGGAUUUGAUUAGCUUUUCACCAUUUUUUUUUCCUAUAAUGAGGAUGGAAUCAUAUUCUUGCUACAUGUGAUCACCAACAUUAUUGGAUUUGUG